This 494-nucleotide ribosomal RNA is filed under the name uncultured bacterium. RNAcentral's name for it is "partial 16S ribosomal RNA". It matches the Rfam family "Bacterial small subunit ribosomal RNA", at positions 28 to 507 of the family's 1533-position model. The record is from RNAcentral.
GACGAACGCUGGCGGCGUGCUUAACACAUGCAAGUCGAACGGAAAGGCCUGCUUUCCCUUGUGGAUUGCGGGUACUCGAGUGGCGAACGGGUGAGUAACACGUGAGUGAUCUGCCCCCAACUUGGGUAUAAGCCUGGGAAACUGGGUCUAAUUCCCGAUAGGACUGCAGGGUGGUGCCUGUGGUGGAAAACGAUUUUCUAGUGGUUGGGGAUGAGCUCGCGGCCUAUCAGCUUGUUGGUGGGGUAAUGGCCUACCAAGGCGGCGACGGGUAGCCGGCCUGAGAGGGUGGACGGCCACAUUGGGGCUGAGAUACGGCCCAGACUCCUACGGGAGGCAGCAGUGGGGAAUAUUGCACAAUGGGCGGAAGCCUGAUGCAGCGACGCCGCGUGGGGGAUGACGGCCUUCGGGUUGUAAACUCCUUUCGACCGCGAGGAAGCCACCUGGUUGGAGGGGUGGUGACGGUAGUGGUAGAAGAAGCACCGGCUAACUACGUG